Molecule: ribosomal RNA, 207 nt
Filed under: uncultured Saprospirales bacterium
Lineage: Bacteria; Pseudomonadati; Bacteroidota; Saprospiria; Saprospirales
Description: partial 16S ribosomal RNA
Rfam family: Bacterial small subunit ribosomal RNA
Source: RNAcentral
UGCGCAGGCGGGCAAUUAAGUCAGUGGUGAAAGCCCGAAGCUCAACUUCGGAACUGCCAUUGAAACUGAUUGUCUUGAGUAUAGUUGAGGUAGGCGGAAUACAUCAUGUAGCGGUGAAAUGCUUAGAUAUGAUGUAGAACACCAAUUGCGUAAGCAGCUUACUAAACUAUUACUGACGCUCAGGCACGAAAGCGUGGGGAGCGAACA